UCCACUCACUACUACAAGUCACUCUGGAUAAGAGUGUCUGCUAAAUGAUUGAAA
Non-coding RNA from Salmo salar (Atlantic salmon), 54 nucleotides. The record is from Rfam. NCBI's taxonomy places the organism in Eukaryota, Metazoa, Chordata, Actinopteri, Salmoniformes, Salmonidae.